UACGAGGGGAGCAAGCGUUGUUCGGAUUUACUGGGCGUAAAGGGCGCGUAGGCGGCGUGACUAGUCACUUGUGAAAUCUCCGGGCUUAACUCGGAACGGUCAAGUGAUACUGUCGUGCUAGAGUACAGAAGGGGCAACUGGAAUUCUCGGUGUAGCGGUGAAAUGCGUAGAUAUCGUAAGGAAGACCAGUGGCGAAGGCGGGUCUCUGGACAGUUCCUGACGCUGAGGCACGAAGGUCAGGGGAGCAAACGGG
Molecule: ribosomal RNA, 253 nt
Filed under: uncultured bacterium
Lineage: Bacteria
Description: partial 16S ribosomal RNA
Rfam family: Bacterial small subunit ribosomal RNA
Source: RNAcentral